This 69-nucleotide transfer RNA is filed under the name Rattus norvegicus (Norway rat). It matches the Rfam family "tRNA". From Rfam's summary of the family: Transfer RNA (tRNA) molecules are approximately 80 nucleotides in length. Their secondary structure includes four short double-helical elements and three loops (D, anti-codon, and T loops). Lineage: Eukaryota; Metazoa; Chordata; Mammalia; Rodentia; Muridae. The record is from Rfam by way of RNAcentral.
GAGGAUUUAGCUCAGUGGUAGAGCGCUUGCCUAGCAAGCGCAAGGCCCUGGGUUCGGUCCCCAGCUUCG